AGUGAACGCUGGCGGUAGGCCUAACACAUGCAAGUCGAACGGCAGCACAGUAAGAGCUUGCUCUUACGGGUGGCGAGUGGCGGACGGGCGAGGAAUACAUCGGAAUCUACUUUUUCGUGGGGGAUAACGUAGGGAAACUUACGCUAAUACCGCAUACGACCUACGGGUGAAAGCAAGGGAUCUUCGGACCUUGCGCGAUUGAAUGAGCCGAUGUCGGAUUAGCUAGUUGGCGGGGUAAAGGCCCACCAAGGCGACGAUCCGUAGCUGGUCUGAGAGGAUGAUCAGCCACACUGGAACUGAGACACGGUCCAGACACCUACGGGAGGCAGCAGUGGGGAAUAUUGGACAAUGGGCGCAAGCCUGAUCCAGCCAUACCGCGUGGGUGAAGAAGGCCUUCGGGUUGUAAAGCCCUUUUGUUGGGAAAGAAAAGCAGCAGGUUAAUACCCCGCUGUUCUGACGGUACCCAAAGAAUAAGCACCGGCUAACUUCGUG
RNAcentral lists this ribosomal RNA (492 nucleotides) under uncultured bacterium. Its description in RNAcentral is "partial 16S ribosomal RNA". It matches the Rfam family "Bacterial small subunit ribosomal RNA", at positions 29 to 507 of the family's 1533-position model. The record is from RNAcentral.